This is a long non-coding RNA of Lathyrus oleraceus (garden pea), 892 nucleotides long. RefSeq lists it as uncharacterized. The record is from RefSeq and is a predicted model, not a curated record. NCBI's taxonomy places the organism in Eukaryota, Viridiplantae, Streptophyta, Magnoliopsida, Fabales, Fabaceae. The transcript has 2 exons.
CCUAAUCCCAGAGAAUCAAGAAAUGUGAUUAUGUUAUGAUUCCGAUCAAAAAUUCAACACGAAUUCAUGAAAUGAAAUCAAUCACACAACCCUUACCGUUCACUCGUGUCUCCCUGUAUUACCCUGUGGAUCUGAACCGGAACUCUAGAUACCAAUUGUUGAUGCAAAGGAUGAAGAAGAUGAAGAUGAAAGAAGAGAGAAGAGAGAGAGAGAGAGAAUAAUAAACUUCCACUACUUUAACAAAACGGUUACAGCAAAUAAUUGCACACACAUUGUACACAACGCACACACUCAGUACUUUAUUGUUGUAUUGUGUUGACAAUAAUAAGUGAAAUACACACCAUACAACUUCUAACAACUCAGUAAGGUAGCUUUACCCAAUUUCUUUUUAAGGGUAUAUAAGAAUUCACCGAGUCUCAAACUUUCAAAACAUACAUAAAGGAAACAUAUCAUUUUUCUCCUUUCUUUCUCUCCUUCAGUCACCUACCUCUCCUCUCAACAAUGACUUCAGUCACAUCACCGAUAAAGAUUCGACUUUGCAAUAUAGAUUCAUUAGAACUUCUUAAUCAGACGCUGGUUAGAAGGAGAAAUUGCAUAUGGUGAAAGGAUUAGAAGGAUUUAAUGGCUUGAGUCCACGUUCAAUCAAAAUGGAUAAGUGCGUGAAUGGUGGAUAUUAAGACUGACAGAGACGUUCGCAGGAUGGUGCAUAAUAUGUUUAAAAUUGUUUUGAUGGUUUUAAUCGCUUAGUUAUAGUAAUGGUAUUUUAAUUGUUGUAGUUAUUUGUGUUGUUGUUUAUGUGUUACUUGUGUGUUGAAUGUGUUGUAUUUGUUUGUGAUGGUAUUGCAAUAAACUUUGUUUUUUAUAUAUUUCAAAAGAGGUACAUGUAAAAUUA